This 389-nucleotide ribosomal RNA is filed under the name uncultured bacterium. Its description in RNAcentral is "bacterial SSU rRNA". It matches the Rfam family "Bacterial small subunit ribosomal RNA", at positions 29 to 408 of the family's 1533-position model. The record is from RNAcentral.
AACGAACGCUGGCGGCGCGCUUAACACAUGCAAGUCGAACGAGAAGGCGUAGCGAAUACGCUUGUAAAGUGGCGAACGGGUGAGGAAUACGUGGGUAACCUACCCUCGAGUGGGGGAUAACCCGCCGAAAGGCGGGCUAAUACCGCGUACGCUUCCGAUCUCGCGGGAUCGGAAGGAAAGCUGUCCCAAGGGGAUGGCGCUCAAGGAUGGGCUCAUGUCCUAUCAGCUUGUUGGUAGGAACGGCCUACCAAGGCAUCGACGGGUAGCUGGUCUGAGAGGACGAUCAGCCACACUGGCACUGCGACACGGGCCAGACUCCUACGGGAGGCAGCAGUGAGGAAUAUUGCGCAAUGGGCGAAAAGCCUGACGCAGCGACGCCGCGUGGGGGA